UACGUAGGGGCAAGCGUUAUCCGGAUUUACUGGGUGUAAAGGGAGCGUAGACGGCUUUGCAAGCCAGAUGUGAAAGCCCGGGGCUCAACCUCGGGACUGCAUUUGGAACUGUAUGGCUGGAGUGUCGGAGAGGCAGGCGGAAUUCCUAGUGUAGCGGUGAAAUGCGUAGAUAUUAGGAGGAACACCAGUGGCGAAGGCGGCCUGCUGGACGAUGACUGACGUUGAGGCUCGAAAGCGUGGGGAGCAAACAGG
RNAcentral lists this ribosomal RNA (252 nucleotides) under uncultured bacterium. RNAcentral's name for it is "partial 16S ribosomal RNA". It matches the Rfam family "Bacterial small subunit ribosomal RNA", at positions 524 to 776 of the family's 1533-position model. The record is from RNAcentral.